UUUAGUGGCAAACGGGUGAGUAACACGUAGGUAAUUUACCUGUAAGAGAAGGAUAACUCGAAGAAAUUCGAGCUAAUGCUUCAUACCAUUACGUUUGUAUAAACAGACAUAAUGAAAGUCCACCUUUGGUGGAUGCUUGCAGAUAAGCCUGCGGCUUAUCAGCUAGUUGGUGGGGUAAUGGCUCACCAAGGCUUUGACGAGUAGCUGGCUUGAAAGAGUGACCGGCCACAUUGGCAUUGAGAUACGGGCCAAACUCCUACGGGAGGCAGCAGUGAGGAAUUUUGCGCAAUGUUCGAAUGAAUGACGCAGCGACACCGCGUGGGGGAUGAAGGCUUUCGGGUUGUAAACCCCUUUUCUCAGGGAAGAGUAAUGACGGUACCUGAGGAAUAAGCCUCGGCUAACUACGUGCCAGCAGCCGCGGUAAUACGUAGGAGGCGAGCGUUAUCCGGAUUUACUGGGUGUAAAGAGGGCGUAGGCGGUUCUUCGAGUCGGAUGUGAAAUCUCCCGGCUUAACCGGGAGGGGUCAUUCGAUACUGUUGGGCUAGAGGACAGCAGAGGGAGGUGGAAUUCCCGGUGUAGUGGUGAAAUGCGUAGAUAUCGGGAGGAACACCAGUGGCGAAGGCGGCCUCCCGGGCUGUUUCUGACGCUGAGGCCCAAAAGCGUGGGGAGCGAACAGGAUUAGAUACCCUGGUAGUCCACGCCGUAAACUAUGGACACUAGGUAUGGGGAGUAUCGACCCUCUCCGUGCCGAAGCUAACGCUUUAAGUGUCCCACCUGGGGACUACGGCCGCAAGGCUAAAACUCAAAGGAAUUGACGGGGGCCCGCACAAGCAGCGGAGCGUGUGGUUUAAUUCGAUGCAACGCGAAGAACCUUACCAAGGCUUGACAUGUCGGAAGUAGUGACCUGAAAGGGAAGCCACCUGUUAAGUCAGGAGCCGUCACAGGUGCUGCAUGGCUGUCGUCAGCUCGUGCCGUGAGGUGUUGGGUUAAGUCCCGCAACGAGCGCAACCCUCGUUGCCAGUUAAUUUCUCUGGCGAGACUGCCCCGCAAAACGGGGAGGAAGGUGGGGAUGACGUCAAGUCAGCACGGCCCUUAUGCCUUGGGCUACACACACGCUACAAUGGGUGGUACAGAGGGCAGCAAUGGAGCGAUCCGGAGCUAAUCCCACAGAGCCAUCCUCAGUUCGGAUUGCAGGCUGAAACCCGCCUGCAUGAAGUUGGAGUUGCUAGUAACCGCAGGUCAGCAUACUGCGGUGAAUACGUUCUCGGGCCUUGUACACACCGCCCGUCACGUCAUGAAAGUCGGCAACACCUGAAGUCGAUGGGCUAACCUCGGUUUCCGAGGAGGCAG
RNAcentral lists this ribosomal RNA (1350 nucleotides) under uncultured bacterium. Its description in RNAcentral is "16S ribosomal RNA". It matches the Rfam family "Bacterial small subunit ribosomal RNA", at positions 91 to 1452 of the family's 1533-position model. The record is from RNAcentral.